Molecule: ribosomal RNA, 292 nt
Filed under: uncultured bacterium
Lineage: Bacteria
Description: partial 16S ribosomal RNA
Source: RNAcentral
GGACUACUAGGGUAUCUAAUCCUGUUUGCUCCCCACGCUCUCGCGCCUCAGCGUCAGUGUCAGUCCAGGUAGCCGCCUUCGCCACUGGUGUUCCUUCCGAUAUCUACGCAUUUCACCGCUACACCGGAAAUUCCACUACCCUCUACUGCACUCUAGCAAAUCAGUAUCGGAUGCAGUUCCUAGGUUGAGCCCAGGGAUUUCACAUCCGACUUAAUUCACCGCCUACGCGCCCUUUACGCCCAGUAAUUCCGAUUAACGCUUGCACCCUCUGUAUUACCGCGGCUGCUGGCAC